GUCGAGAAUCUUUCACAAUGGGGGCAACCCUGAUGGAGCGACGCCGCGUGGAGGAUAAGGUCUUCGGAUUGUAAACUCCUGUCAUGCGUGAACAAGGUUGCUUGGUUAAUACCUGGGCAAAUUGAUGGUAACGCAAGAGGAAGAGACGGCUAACUCUGUGCCAGCAGCCGCGGAAAUACAGAGGUCUCAAGCGUUGUUCGGAAUCACUGGGCGUAAAGGGUGCGUAGGUGGCGUGGUAAGUCAGAUGUGAAAGCCCGGGGCUCAACCUCGGAACUGCAUCCGAUACUGCCAUGCUAGAGUACUGGAGAGGUGACUAGAAUUCUAGGUGUAGCAGUGAAAUGCGUAGAUAUCGAGAGGAAUACCAAAGGCGUAGGCAGGUCACUGGACAGUUACUGACACUGAGGCAAGAAGGCCAGGGGAGCGAACGGGAUUGGAUACCCGAGUAGUCC
This 449-nucleotide ribosomal RNA is filed under the name uncultured bacterium. RNAcentral describes it as "bacterial SSU rRNA". It matches the Rfam family "Bacterial small subunit ribosomal RNA", at positions 354 to 796 of the family's 1533-position model. The record is from RNAcentral.